AUGCCAGCGUACUGGGCAGGAACUGAACAUUCAAGAAGAGAGAGAAGAGGAAGAAGGCAGCAGAGCCUGGUGAGAGGGCACUGGAAAGCAUGCACCCCUGCCCUCUCCCAGCUGCUCCCCAGCCCUCUCCUAGCCUGCACCCCAGAGGGAAAAAAAGAAAACAAAAGAAAAAGAGAAGACACUACAGAACAUGUCCUUGUUUCACAAUGUCGUCAUCAUGUAAACGUGAAUCGAGUACAGCUUCCUGAGGUUGCACAGAGAGUUAAACUUCUGCUGGGAAAAGGCAAGAAGGGCCAAUGGCUGCGAGAUGACAGGUUCCAUAAAGGAAAUACUCUCUGACCAGGCCCUGAUGGCACAAGAUGAAAGUAUGUGGAAGGAAAGAUGGAUAUACCAAGAAGGUCUAUCCAAGAAGUCAGUAAAUAUGUGCUGAACAAAUAAUUUCGACUUCUUAAAUUCUCCAAUCAAGUUCAACAACAAAAAAAUAUUUGACUACCUGCAAAGUGUAAGCUAUGAUUUCUGUUCUUGUGUCCUUAAAAUUUCAGAGACCCCAAGUAAAGCCUAUUAGAGCAAAGCAGCCCUUCCAAGUAUUAAUUUAUAAUCAAUUUUGAAAGUAGCUGAGUUUAUUGUGUCCUAAUGUGAAAAUGAGCUAUUGGCUGUAUGCCAAUUAGCAGAUAAGUCUCCUAUCCCAACAGGUGAAAUAUGAGAUGCUGAAUAAUAAAG
Molecule: long non-coding RNA, 720 nt
Filed under: Sus scrofa (pig)
Lineage: Eukaryota; Metazoa; Chordata; Mammalia; Artiodactyla; Suidae
Description: lncRNA (ENSSSCG00035055506.1)
Source: RNAcentral